Molecule: ribosomal RNA, 360 nt
Filed under: Alexandrium tamarense
Lineage: Eukaryota; Dinophyceae; Gonyaulacales; Pyrocystaceae
Description: partial Bacterial small subunit ribosomal RNA
Rfam family: Bacterial small subunit ribosomal RNA
Source: RNAcentral
CGGGAGGCAGCAGUGGGGAAUAUUGCACAAUGGGCGCAAGCCUGAUGCAGCCAUGCCGCGUGUGUGAAGAAGGCCUUCGGGUUGUAAAGCACUUUUGUCAGGGAAGAAAUCGUUCGGGCUAAUACCUCGGGCAGUUGACGGUACCUGAAGAAUAAGCACCGGCUAACUACGUGCCAGCAGCCGCGGUAAUACGUAGGGUGCAAGCGUUAAUCGGAAUUACUGGGCGUAAAGCGUGCGCAGGCGGUUUUGUAAGACAGGCGUGAAAUCCCCGGGCUUAACCUGGGAACUGCAAUUGUGACUGGCGGACUAGAGUUUGGCAGAGGGGGGUGGAAUUCCUGGUGUAGCAGUGAAAUGCGUAGA